GGUAAACGGCGGCCGUAACUAUAACGGUCCUAAGGUAGCGAAAUUCCUUGUCGGGUAAGUUCCGACCUGCACGAAUGGCGUAAUGAUGGCCAGGCUGUCUCCACCCGAGACUCAGUGAAAUUGAACUCGCUGUGAAGAUGCAGUGUACCCGCGGCAAGACGGAAAGACCCCGUGAACCUUUACUAUAGCUUGACACUGAACAUUGAGCCUUGAUGUGUAGGAUAGGUGGGAGGCUUUGAAGUGUGGACGCCAGUCUGCAUGGAGCCGACCUUGAAAUACCACCCUUUAAUGUUUGAUGUUCUAACGUUGACCCGUAAUCCGGGUUGCGGACAGUGUCUGGUGGGUAGUUUGACUGGGGCGGUCUCCUCCUAAAGAGUAACGGAGGAGCACGAAGGUUGGCUAAUCCUGGUCGGACAUCAGGAGGUUAGUGCAAUGGCAUAAGCCAGCUUGACUGCGAGCGUGACGGCGCGAGCAGGUGCGAAAGCAGGUCAUAGUGAUCCGGUGGUUCUGAAUGGAAGGGCCAUCGCUCAACGGAUAAAAGGUACUCCGGGGAUAACAGGCUGAUACCGCCCAAGAGUUCAUAUCGACGGCGGUGUUUGGCACCUCGAUGUCGGCUCAUCACAUCCUGGGGCUGAAGUAGGUCCCAAGGGUAUGGCUGUUCGCCAUUUAAAGUGGUACGCGAGCUGGGUUUAGAACGUCGUGAGACAGUUCGGUCCCUAUCUGCCGUGGGCGCUGGAGAACUGAGGGGGGCUGCUCCUAGUACGAGAGGACCGGAGUGGACGCAUCACUGGUGUUCGGGUUGUCAUGCCAAUGGCACUGCCCGGUAGCUAAAUGCGGAAGAGAUAAGUGCUGAAAGCAUCUAAGCACGAAACUUGCC
Molecule: ribosomal RNA, 877 nt
Filed under: Escherichia coli
Lineage: Bacteria; Pseudomonadati; Pseudomonadota; Gammaproteobacteria; Enterobacterales; Enterobacteriaceae
Description: partial 23S ribosomal RNA
Rfam family: Bacterial large subunit ribosomal RNA
Source: RNAcentral